AACCUGGUUGAUCCUGCCAGUAGUCAUAUGCUUGUCUCAAAGAUUAAGCCAUGCAUGUCUAAGUAUAAGCAAUUAUACAGCGAAACUGCGAAUGGCUCAUUAUAUAAGUUAUCGUUUAUUUGAUAGCACCUUACUACUUGGAUAACCGUGGUAAUUCUAGAGCUAAUACAUGCUAAAAAUCCCGACUUCGGAAGGGAUGUAUUUAUUAGAUACAAAACCAAUGCCCUUCGGGGCUCACUGUGAUUCAUGAUAACUUCGCGAAUCGCACAGCCUUGCGCUGGCGAUGGUUCAUUCAAAUUUCUUCCCUAUCAACUUUCGAUGUUUGGAUAUGGGCCAAACAUGGUUGCAACGGGUAACGGAGGGUUAGGGCUCGACCCCGGAGAAGGAGCCUGAGAAACGGCUACUACAUCCAAGGAAGGCAGCAGGCGCGCAAAUUACCCAAUCCCGACACGGGGAGGUAGUGACAAUAAAUACUGAUACAGGGCUCUAUAGGGUCUUGUAAUCGGAAUGAGUACAAUUUAAAUCUCUUAACGAGGAACAAUUGGAGGGCAAGUCUGGUGAACUGUUGGUGCCAGAGAGAGCCGUCGCCCAGAGAACGGCUAGUCGAGUGCUCGUCAUUGACGGGUGAGCACCGGCGAGACAACCUGGAUCGGGGGACCCUAAGGGCGCAAGCCUAUGGAAAUCCCGAGCAGAGCCCGCGAGGCCUUGUGUAGAGCGCGCAAAGGUGUCGGUCCAGCCCCCGGGCUGGGCUUAAGGUACGUGCCAAUCCCCCGUGAAAACGGGGUCCAGUGGACUAGCACCCGUCGUGCGAAGCGCUGGGGGAAGCCCACGGGCGUCCGUAACUUCAAAUGGCCAGCAGCCGCGGUAAUUCCAGCUCCAAUAGCGUAUAUUAAAGUUGUUGUGGUUAAAAAGCUCGUAGUUGAACCUUGGGCCUGGCUGGCCGGUCCGCCUCACCGCGUGCACUGGUCCGGCCGGGCCUUUCCCUCUGUGGAACCCCAUGCCCUUCACUGGGUGUGGCGGGGAAACAGGACUUUUACUUUGAAAAAAUUAGAGUGCUCCAGGCAGGCCUAUGCCCGAAUACAUUAGCAUGGAAUAAUAAAAUAGGACGUGCGGUUCUAUUUUGUUGGUUUCUAGGACCGCCGUAAUGAUUAAUAGGGACAGUCGGGGGCAUCAGUAUUCAGUUGUCAGAGGUGAAAUUCUUAGAUCUACUGAAGACUAACUACUGCGAAAGCAUUUGCCAAGGAUGUUUUCAUUAAUCAGGAACGAAAGUUAGGGGAUCGAAGACGAUCAGAUACCGUCGUAGUCUUAACCAUAAACUAUGCCGACUAGGGAUCGGACGAUGUUAUUACUUGACUCGUUCGGCACCUUACGAGAAAUCAAAGUGCUUGGGCUCCAGGGGGAGUAUGGUCGCAAGGCUGAAACUUAAAGGAAUUGACGGAAGGGCACCACCAGGGGUAAACCGCAGAAGCUCUGCCCCUGAAAGCAGCCGGGAAACCGGUGAGGUGGUUGUCCUGGCCCCCGGGCCGAACCAAGUGCUAGUCGCCUCCGGGGCGGCGACAUCCUCCAAUUGCGGGGAGUCCCUAAAGCCGACGCUACCAAGCAGGCCGCCGAAAGGCACCUGUGGCCGGGUUAACAGCCCUGGGUAUGGUAAAGACGCGCCGGAUGCCACAAUGGGUGACUCGCAGCCAAGCUCCUAACCGGUCCGCCGCAGGGAGAAGGUCCAGAGACUUAAUGGGGAUGGGUCCGCCUACGGGCGGGUCUAAGAUAAAGUCCGUCUGCCCGCGAAAGCGGUGCCAGAGCCCUAAACGGGACUGCGGCUUAAUUUGACUCAACACGGGGAAACUCACCAGGUCCAGACACAAUAAGGAUUGACAGAUUGAGAGCUCUUUCUUGAUUUUGUGGGUGGUGGUGCAUGGCCGUUCUUAGUUGGUGGAGUGAUUUGUCUGCUUAAUUGCGAUAACGAACGAGACCUUAACCUGCUAACUAGCCCGUAUUGCUCCGGCAGUACGCUGGCUUCUUAGAGGGACUAUCGGCUCAAGCCGAUGGAAGUUUGAGGCAAUAACAGGUUGACCAUUACAGGCCUGUAACAGUGGGCCUCACUAAAGAUAACCGCUAGUCCAGCAGCUUUACCUCCGUAGGGGAAGCCCCCUACUAUCGGGCGGAGGAGGCCUCAGGGCCUUUGCUGCGGGCAACACCACCUGGUACAGGGGACGCCUUCGGGCCAAUCCUGUGGCGAGCCUGGGUAGCUCCAGGCCGUCGCAACGCGCGCAAAGGGGUGGGCUCGCGAACACGCGAGCUUAAGGUACGUGCUAAUCCCAUGGGAAACCAUGCCGCUGAGACUAGGCCCGAUACGCCGAAGCUCAGGGGGGCAGCCACUGAACGGCUGCUGGGCCUCGCCGCUGGAGCCCCGGCUCCGGCGCGAGGCAACUGCUGUGAUGCCCUUAGAUGUUCUGGGCCGCACGCGCGCUACACUGACAGAGCCAGCGAGUACUCCCUUGGCCGAAAGGCCUGGGUAAUCUUGUUAAACUCUGUCGUGCUGGGGAUAGAGCAUUGCAAUUAUUGCUCUUCAACGAGGAAUCCCUAGUAAGCGCAAGUCAUCAGCUUGCGUUGAUUACGUCCCUGCCCUUUGUACACACCGCCCGUCG
This 2645-nucleotide ribosomal RNA is filed under the name marine ascomycete sp. HF01016. RNAcentral describes it as "SSU rRNA". The stretch from base 1 to 2227 matches the Rfam family "Eukaryotic small subunit ribosomal RNA". The record is from RNAcentral. Lineage: Eukaryota; Fungi; Ascomycota.